AAAGAAGGUCCAGUGAAAGAGGAGAAGGAAGAUGAGGCUAUCACGGUUAAAAAGGAAGUAGAGGGUGAGGCUGUUACAGUGAAAGAGGAAGACGUUUCAGUGAAAGAAGAGGAGGAUGAGAUUACUGUCACAGUUAUAGAGGAGGAAGAAGAGAAGAAUGGAGAUCUGAUUAACACCAGUGAGAAUGGAGAUCUGAUUAACACCAGAGAGAGACAAGACUCUCACUCUGACAGCGAAAAGCGUCUUUCAGAAGAACCAGAGACGUCCAAACCAGCAAGACGACGCCACUCUUCCCAGUGUGGAAAGAGUUUUAUCAAGUUAGGGAGCCUUAAAAACCAUGAGAGGACACACACAGGAGAAAAGCCCUACCAAUGUUCCCAGUGUGGAAAGAGUUUUACCAAGUUAGGGAGCCUUAAAAACCAUGAGAGGACACACACAGGAGAAAAGCCCUACCAAUGUUCCCAGUGUGGAAAGAGUUUUACAAGGUUCUGGAACCUAAAAGAACAUGUGAGGACACACACAGGGGAAAAACCUCAUCACUGCUCCCAGUGUGGAAAGAGUUUUAUCCGGUCAAGCCACCUGAAAGAACACAAGAGAACGCACACAG
Oncorhynchus keta (chum salmon) is the source of this 607-nucleotide long non-coding RNA. RefSeq lists it as uncharacterized. Lineage: Eukaryota; Metazoa; Chordata; Actinopteri; Salmoniformes; Salmonidae. The record is from RefSeq and is a predicted model, not a curated record. The transcript has 3 exons.